ACAAGGACACGGGCACAGACAUGGGUAGUAAUGAGACCUAUUAAGUAUUUUCCCCUCCAGUAGGCAGAUGUGCAUGAUACAUAAAUUACAAAUAAGAGGAACCUUGUGAACACAUUUCAAAGGCAAGAUGAGUGAAUAUCGGUGACUUGUGGUUUUCAUGUAUUUUAUAAUUCAGUUCUUGGUAUAAAAUAUAUUUUAUAUUCCAACCUCGUAUACACCUAUACACUCUUGAAAAAUCGAAAGAAGAGUUUCACUGAAGAAAACUUAAUUUCACAAGGUGUGAUACUCUCUGAUGUUUUAUUUUACAUCAUAUACUAGUUCAAUUAAAAAAUAAAUUCAUUAAGCUCAUCAGAAUUGACUGUGCCUGCAAUUUCAAAAAUGAGUCGGAGGAACAAGAUAUUAAUGACUGGGCACCGCCUCUCCCACCUCCACCUGAUGCAGUGCUCGAUGGUGAACUCACUGAGCCAGGCCAUCUGUGUCCUUGCAAGGUGACCUUCCCUGUGCCCUUGCAGUGGGCAUUGUGACACUUUCCUCUGAGACACUUCCACAGUUGUGUAUCUCAUGCUUUGUUUUCAAAACAGAUUCCUUGAAGCCUGUGGUGGUUUAAUCUGGCCAGCCUGGGAGGGACUAUUCCACUUCACAGCGAAUUUCUCUUUGAUCCUUUUGCUAAUUUCGUUCUGAGGUCAAUCUUAUUCCUGAGGUCCAAAGAGGUAUCUCUCUGCUAUGUCUCAUUUUAUUCUAUUAAUAGUGUAUUAAUAUGGGCUGCUGAAGUUAUUUUUUCUUAGCACUUAUUAGGUGUUUGUAUUUGUUUUAUUUUAUAAUACUUACUCACUAAAUAUUAACCUUCACAAUUGAGGCAACAUGCCCAGGGGAAGAAAGCUGACCUCAGUGUCUGUCACUGUGUACAGGCUCCUGUGGAAUUGUCAAUGCUGAGCAGCACACGUAGCUCUUGGAGUCUCAUUUUCUUCAUUUCUAAAUUAGAAAUGAGCACUUGUACUUUACAGCAUUCUGAAGAUAGAAUGAGAUGUGUCCAGAUAACUCCUGUCAUGUGUUGGGGGAUACAUGUAUGUGUAUGUUCUUUCCCUUUCUUACAUGAUUAUUCUCUUUGUGUGGGGAGGUGGUGAGUGUUUUUAUUACAUGCGGAAAGGAGAUCUGUCUUGUUAUGCUGUAUUAGGCCAUUCUUGCACUGCUAUAAAGAAAUAUCUGAGCCUGGAUAAUUUAUAAGAAAAGAGAUUGAAUUGGCUCACACUUCUGAAGCUGUACAGAAAGCAUGGUGGCAUCUGCUUCUGGGGAGGCCUCAGGAAGCUUCCAAUCAUGGCAGAAGGUGAAGGGGGAGCAGGUACGUCACGUGGCCAGAGCAGGAGCAAGCAUAGUGGGUGUGCCACACAGUUUUAAAUGAUCAGAUCUGGCAAGAACUCACCAGCUAUUGCAAAGACAGCAGCAAGUCAUGAGGGAUCUGCCCCCAUGAUCCAAACACUUCCCACCAGGCCCCACCCCCAGCAUUGGGGAUUACAAUUGACAAUUCAACAUGAGAUUUGAGAGAGGAUAAAUAUCCAAACUAUAUCACAUGCAUACAGAUAAGGAGCAUAGGUUGCUGUUCUACCUAUUGUCUGUCCUGUUGAAACAGUUAAAUAUAUUCCCUGGGCGUUCAUUUUCUUCCCAGAACUGGGUGAAAGAACUGUCUGAACUUGCUUCUCCUUCCUCACCUGCAUGUGUUCCUCAGUCUACUGCAGUCUUUCACCUCCUUUACUUCAUUAAACCUGCUCUGGCAAAGAUCGCUAAUUUCCACCACACUGCAGAGGCUGCAGGCUCUUGUCCCUACUGAUUUGACUUCUUUGCUGCAUCUAAUACUUUCCUUGGGAUCAUUCUGCCCUCAGUGAUCUGAGAUUGCCUUCUGCCUUUGAAAAAGUGACUUGAUUGUUGUUGUUGACACUCCCUCUUCUUCUCCCUACAUGAGACAUUUCUAAAGAAGACUGGCAUUGUUUGUAUGUCAGGGACAUCAGAAUGGAACAGAGACAUAAGAACAGGAGAAGGCAAUGCAUUCUUGUCUUGAGGAAUAUGUCUGGCUUUAACAGGAGCUAUGGGCCAGAAGCACUGGGCCUUUGCAUGUCAGAACAUGAACAGUGCUGCACCAGGGCAUGCUAUAGCCAAGGCUGAUGCGGACGGUGUGGAUUUUAUUGCUGUGCUGAAAAGGUCCCUGUGCUCGUGGAUGCUGGCCACCCCUUCCACUACAUACAUAUUAAUCAUAAUUAUCUUAAAGUCCUCGUGUGAGGUUUUCAUCAUUUGGGCCAUCUCUGUAUCUGAUUCUAUUGAUUUACUUGUCUCUUGAUUGUGGGUUAUUAUUACUAUUUUGCUUUUUUUGUGCGCAUGAUCUUUUUUAUUCAAUACUGAACAUUAUUUGGAGACCAGGGAUGAUGGAGGUAUAUAGUAAUUACCCCCGGAAAUGGGCAUGCCUCUUAUGCUGUGAAGCCAUUAAUGUGGAGGGUUGAUACAAUUUGGACAAAAGAUGAGCUGAAUUUGAGGUUUGUUGUUGUCAUGGCUCUUGCUGUCUACAGGCUUUCAGUUCCUCCUUUCACCUUGUGUGCAGGGUGGGGUAUGGCUGGCGUGUUGGAAAGUCUUCCUCAGAUUUAGUGCUGCAUGCUCAGCUUUUGGCUGUCACUGUAUCAGGUCUUCUCCAUACUCUGCACCUCCCCAGUGGUAGUUGGUGCUGGGUGAAAUUUGGUUCUAAGAUCCAGGUCAGGGGAAACUUGCUGUUGUUCUGCUCCAGCUUUUUUCUUGUAAAUGCUCUGUGUGCCUGGCCCUGUGUCAUUCCUGCCCCUCUUCCAUAUGGUGCUCAAAUUCUACCUGAGUGGGGGAUUCCUGCUUCAGCCCCACACGCCCCCAGGGCAGCAGACUUCUCCUUGGUUUCAGUAGAGGAUCUGGGCCCAGGAUGGCUUCUUGCCCUCCCCUGAGUGUCCAGGGCUUUUGCUUCUACCCUUUCCCUCCUGCAGUGGGUCUUUCCUUGCUCCUUGCUCAUGGGGUUAAGACUUUUGCAUUUUGAGGGAGAAGGUUCUAGGUGGGGUGGUGGGGUUCAUGUCUGAUGCACAUGGCCCAGUCCAUCCUGCAUGCCUGUAUUACUGAUGAGGCUCAUCCUCUUCUCUUGCCCAGCUGCCAGCAUUCUUGUAAGUGCCUAGUGAGUGAAUGCAGAUCCCUCCGCAUCUGCACAUCUUUGCCGUAAGUGAACCUGGUUCCUGUCCAGUUUCUCCUUAGAGGAGGCUACCCCUCCUGGAAUUUCAGGCUUUUUGGUUUCCCUGUGACCUAAACAUUUGGCUUGGUCCAAGGAAAUUUCAACUUGUGGUGUACCUGGCUUUUUCUUGUGGUUAGGGCAACACUAUUUUCAGCUUUCUAUAUCCCUGGUGGAAGUGAGCAUCAUCAUUUCCUAAUAGUUUCCCUUGGUGAAGUUUAUUCAUGCCUGAGAGUGUUUUCCGUGUUAUAAAGGUAUUCAUGAAUAUGGUCCAUUGCCAUCUUGUCAUAAGUAGAAUUGAAAUUGUUUACAAAUGAACAUCUUCUCUGUGCUAGCUCUGAUUAAUUGAGGAAAUAUAAUUUAAUUUUUAACCCUUUGUGCUUACUCUCAGGGUAGGAUUUUUUUAAGUGAUUGUUUUGCUGUCUUCUUUUCUGUUUUUAUCUGCCACAUUAGCUCAUUUUCUGUUGGUAUAAAUGAAUCUUGGAAACUAGGUAAUCUAUAAAGAAAUUUAUUUCUUACAGUUUUGGAG
Molecule: long non-coding RNA, 3752 nt
Filed under: Homo sapiens (human)
Lineage: Eukaryota; Metazoa; Chordata; Mammalia; Primates; Hominidae
Description: HSALNT0360706
Source: RNAcentral